UGGGGAAUAUUGGGCAAUGGGCGAAAGCCUGACCCAGCAACGCCGCGUGAAGGAAGAAGGCCUUCGGGUUGUAAACUUCUUUUAAGAGGGACGAAGAAGUGACGGUACCUCUUGAAUAAGCCACGGCUAACUACGUGCCAGCAGCCGCGGUAAUACGUAGGUGGCGAGCGUUAUCCGGAUUUACUGGGUGUAAAGGGCGCGUAGGCGGGAAUGCAAGUCAGAUGUGAAAUCCAAGGGCUCAACCCUUGAACUGCAUUUGAAACUGUAUUUCUUGAGUGUCGGAGAGGUUGACGGAAUUCCUAGUGUAGCGGUGAAAUGCGUAGAUAUUAGGAGGAACACCAGUGGCGAAGGCGGUCAACUGGACGAUAACUGACGCUGAGGCGCGAAAGCGUGGGGAGCA
Molecule: ribosomal RNA, 400 nt
Filed under: uncultured bacterium
Lineage: Bacteria
Description: bacterial SSU rRNA
Rfam family: Bacterial small subunit ribosomal RNA
Source: RNAcentral